UGUGGAUGGAAUGCUUUCUUCCUUUACUGAAAUGUGAAUUUUGUUUUUCCUUAACUACAGACAGUGUAUCAGAAGAAUGGGAACUUAUUUUUCCGUACAACAAUCCAGAGAGCAUCGGCAUCUGAACAGAAACAACUAGAUUUGACUAAAGCAAGCCUUGAAAAGUUGAAUUCUUCUUGAUACGGCUUGGUCUACAUUGAUGCGUUGGCAGCUUUCUAAGGAUAAAGAACAGGUGCAUUUCUUAUUGCAUGGAAUUGUGCUGUUUGGGAGUCGAGGAGACAUUUUCCUUUUUAGUUAUGGUCAUAGAACAAAUUUCCUCUGCUUUUUGUAUUUGUCUUGGUGUUACGAUCGUUGGCCUUUAGCAUAUAGAUAUAUGGUUGAAGAGAAGUAGUCAUGGGAAUUUUCGGAGAAGAAUAUUUUACAACUCAAAUAUGAUUUUGAAGUAUAUUUUUGAGUUAUUUUCCCGUAA
Long non-coding RNA from Rosa chinensis, 469 nucleotides. RefSeq lists it as uncharacterized. The record is from RefSeq and is a predicted model, not a curated record. NCBI's taxonomy places the organism in Eukaryota, Viridiplantae, Streptophyta, Magnoliopsida, Rosales, Rosaceae. The transcript is spliced from 3 exons.